CCUACGGGAGGCUGCAGUGAGGAAUAUUGGUCAAUGGCCGAGAGGCUGAACCAGCCAAGUCGCGUGAGGGAAGACGGCCCUACGGGUUGUAAACCUCUUUUGUCGGAGAACAAAACCCGGGACGUGUCCCGGACUGCGUGUAUCCGACGAAAAAGCAUCGGCUAACUCCGGGCCAGCAGCCGCGGUAAUACUGAGUAGGCGAGCGUUAUCCGGAUUCAGUGGGUUUAAAGGUUGCGUAGGCGGUCCGUUAAGUCAGCGGUAAAAUUGCGGGGCUCAACCCCGUCUAGCCGUUGAAACUGGCAGACUAGAGUUGGCGAGAGGUACGCGGAAUGCGCGGUGUAGCGGUGAAAUGCAUAGAUAUCGCGCAGAACUCCGGUUGCGAAGGCAGCGUACCGGCGCCAGACUGACGCUGAGGCACGAAGGCGUGGGGAUCGAACAGGAUUAGAUACCCCUGUAGUC
This 459-nucleotide ribosomal RNA is filed under the name uncultured bacterium. RNAcentral's name for it is "partial 16S ribosomal RNA". It matches the Rfam family "Bacterial small subunit ribosomal RNA", at positions 338 to 795 of the family's 1533-position model. The record is from RNAcentral.